RNAcentral lists this ribosomal RNA (549 nucleotides) under uncultured Glomus. Its description in RNAcentral is "SSU rRNA". It matches the Rfam family "Eukaryotic small subunit ribosomal RNA", at positions 548 to 1098 of the family's 1831-position model. Lineage: Eukaryota; Fungi; Glomeromycota; Glomeromycetes; Glomerales; Glomeraceae. The record is from RNAcentral.
UUGGAGGGCAAGUCUGGUGCCAGCAGCCGCGGUAAUUCCAGCUCCAAUAGCGUAUAUUAAAGUUGUUGCAGUUAAAAAGCUCGUAGUUGAAUUUCGGGGUUAGUAGGUUGGUCAUGCCUCUGGUAUGUACUGGUCUCACUGAUUCCUCCUUCCUGAUGAACCUUAAUGCCAUUAAUUUGGUGUUUUGGGGAAUUUGGACUGUUACUUUGAAAAAAUUAGGGUGUUUAAAGCAAGCUAACGCUUGAAUACAUUAGCAUGGAAUAAUGAAAUAGGACGUUCGAUCCUAUUUUGUUGGUUUCUAGGAUUGACGUAAUGAUUAAUAGGGAUAGUUGGGGGCAUUAGUAUUCAAUUGUCAGAGGUGAAAUUCUUGGAUUUAUUGAAGACUAACUACUGCGAAAGCAUUUGCCAAGGAUGUUUUCAUUAAUCAAGAACGAAAGUUAGGGGAUCGAAGACGAUCAGAUACCGUCGUAGUCUUAACCAUAAACUAUGCCGACUAGGGAUCGGAUGAUGUUAAUUUUUUAAUGACUCAUUCGGCGCCUUACGGGAAAA